This 347-nucleotide ribosomal RNA is filed under the name uncultured bacterium. RNAcentral's name for it is "bacterial SSU rRNA". It matches the Rfam family "Bacterial small subunit ribosomal RNA", at positions 1036 to 1383 of the family's 1533-position model. The record is from RNAcentral.
AGGUGCUGCAUGGCUGUCGUCAGCUCGUGUCGUGAGAUGUUGGGUUAAGUCCCGCAACGAGCGCAACCCUUGCCCUUAGUUGCCAUCAUUAAGUUGGGAACUCUAAGGGGACCGCCGGUGACAAACCGGAGGAAGGUGGGGAUGACGUCAAGUCAUCAUGGCCUUUAUGGCCAGGGCUACACACGUGCUACAAUGGUCGGUACAAAGGGUUGCCAACCCGCGAGGGGGAGCCAAUCUCAGAAAGCCGAUCGUAGUCCGGAUUGCAGUCUGCAACUCGACUGCAUGAAGUCGGAAUCGCUAGUAAUCGUGAAUCAGCGAUGUCACGGUGAAUACGUUCCCGGGUCUUG